This 472-nucleotide ribosomal RNA is filed under the name uncultured bacterium. Its description in RNAcentral is "bacterial SSU rRNA". It matches the Rfam family "Bacterial small subunit ribosomal RNA", at positions 355 to 825 of the family's 1533-position model. The record is from RNAcentral.
UGGGGAAUUUUGGACAAUGGGGGCAACCCUGAUCCAGCCAUGCCGCGUGUGUGAAGAAGGUCUUCGGAUUGUAAAGCUCUUUAAGUUGGGAGGAAGGGCAGUAAAUUAAUACUUUGCUGUUUUGACGUUACCGACAGAAUAAGCACCGGCUAACUCUGUGCCAGCAGCCGCGGUAAUACAGAGGGUGCAAGCGUUAAUCGGAAUUACUGGGCGUAAAGCGCGCGUAGGUGGUUCGUUAAGUUGGAUGUGAAAUCCCCGGGCUCAACCUGGGAACUGCAUUCAAAACUGACGAGCUAGAGUAUGGUAGAGGGUGGUGGAAUUUCCUGUGUAGCGGUGAAAUGCGUAGAUAUAGGAAGGAACACCAGUGGCGAAGGCGACCACCUGGACUGAUACUGACACUGAGGUGCGAAAGCGUGGGGAGCAAACAGGAUUAGAUACCCCAGUAGUCCCUGAGCGGGCUGGCAAGGCGCAU